This 406-nucleotide ribosomal RNA is filed under the name uncultured bacterium. Its description in RNAcentral is "partial 16S ribosomal RNA". It matches the Rfam family "Bacterial small subunit ribosomal RNA", at positions 30 to 526 of the family's 1533-position model. The record is from RNAcentral.
AUUGAACGCUGGCGGCAGGCCUAACACAUGCAAGUCGAACGAGUGGCGGACGGGUGAGUAAUGCGUGGGAAUCUAGCUUACGGAGGGGGAUAACUAGGGGAAACUGUAGCUAAUACCGCGUACCAUAGGAUGAGCCCAAGGGGGAUUAGGUAGUUGGUGAGGUAAAGGCUCACCAAGCCGAAGAUCUCUAGCUGGUCUGAGAGGAUGACCGGCCACUCUGGGACUGAGACACGGCCCAGACUCCUACGGGAGGCAGCCGUGGGGAAUAUUGCACCAUGGGCGCAAGCCUGAUGCAGCCAUGCCGCGUGUGUGAAGAAGGCCUUCGGGUUGUAAAGCACUUUCAGCGGGGAGGCGUUACCCGCAGAAGAAGCACCGGCUAACUCCGUGCCAGCCGCCGCGGUAAUAC